GGUUGAAGUCCAUUUGGAGGCGUGCAGCUGUUAAACUUCUGCACUUCUCACUGGGAAAACAGCAUAGGCCACUCUAAUAAGUAAUGGAGAUUCCAGUAUUCAUUGUUGAUGCAUUUACCAAUUUACCUUUCAAAGGAAAUCCUGCAGCAGUUUGUCCCCUUUUACAUGAAUUGCAGGAUGAUAUGUACCAGAAGAUUGCUGCUGAGAUGAACCUGUCAGAGACUGCCUUCAUCAUAAGGCUAAAUUCAAAAGAUGACUUCAGCUCAGGAGCACGCUUCCGCUUGCGUUGGUUCAGCCCCACCAAUGAGGUUCCUCUGUGUGGACAUGCCACCCUAGCUUCAGCUGCUGUACUGUUUUACAAAAAAAAAAAUGUCAACGCAACAGUGGUAUUUGAGACUUUGAGUGGAGAGCUGUAUGUGCAACAACAGGGGGAAUCUAUAGUGAUGGAUUUCCCUCUGAACAAACCUACUCCGCUGGGUCUCAAUGAAUUUAAAGACAUAGUUAAUGCUGCUGUGGGAGACCAGCCGGUUCGAGAAGUGUGCCUCUGUGGCACCACCAAAAAGCUAAUGGUGCGCCUUGCUGACACUUGUGACAGGUCAGUGCUCACAUCCCUGCAGCCAGACCCAGCAGUUCUUCUCCAUGUAAACACUGGAGGAAGGGUUAGGGGUCUGAUUGUCACCAUGAUUGGAGCCCCUGGCUGUCAGCCUGGCUAUGACUUCUACUCCAGAAACUUCUCCCCCUGGUUUGGGAUUCCUGAGGACCCUGUGACUGGUUCUGCACAUACUGUCCUUGCAGGCUACUGGUCUGAGAAACUGGGCAAGAAAAAGAUGCUGGGUGGGUAACAGUGGAGGCUGCUCAGGGGAGGACGGCUCAUGACAACAGCUGGAACCGCACAAAUGGAAUGGCAUCAAACACGUGGAAACCAUGUGAUUGAUACCAUUCCACUUACUCCGCUCCAGCCAUUACCACAAGCCCGUUCUCCCCAAUUAAGGUGCCACCAACCUUCUGCGCCUAUCAGUGCUCCAGUCGUGGUGGGGAGUUGGAGCUGGAACUACGGGAUGAUGGCAGACUGAAUAUCGCUGGCCAGGCUGUAACCGUCCUGCAAGGGAUUCUAACUGUGUAGAGGCUACACUGUUCACGUCGACCUAGCCAAAUAAUCUGUAGACCUAGCUGUGGCUACAGAUUAUUUGAGUUUGAGAUUAACAAUUUGAUACAAUGGAAUUGUCAUUUAACAGAUGCUGUUAUCCAGAGCGAUUUACAGGUUUGGGUUAAGUGCCAUGCCAAGGGCACAGGCAGACUUUUCACCAAGUUGGCUCAGGUUUCAAACCAGCGACUUUUCAGUUACUGGCCCAACUGUCUUUAACCGCUAGUCUACCUGCCGCUCUAGUGAACACUCGGCAUACAAUCCUCACCAUUUGUAUUUGGACUUGAGAUUUGGAUUUGAGAUCAAGUUUUGAGUAGGAGGCGAGAAUACAGAAUGUCACUUAAUGUGAGGGUAUUUUCAUACAUAUUGGUUGCAACACCAUAUACACAGAGCGUUGCCAUUCUUAAAAUUACUUAUUUUGGUGUUCAAACUUUUGUUCAUGUUUUAUCUAAACUCUGGCACUGCAACAUAAGCAUGAGGAAGUGUAUUGCUGGUUAGGGUAAGUUUCUGAAAAACAAGUGAAAUCGCAAAAAAAAGGAAGUGUCUGUAACCUCCUGUUCUCUACAUGUGACCCCAUGUCUGGACUCCAAAAUGCAGAUUUGGUUCCAAUAAAGAAAACUUCUCAUUCAAUAAGACAAAAGCCCUUCAUGAAUCGUGUCGUCCCAUUUUAAGUCAGAAUUAGAAUUUAUGCUUCAUUUUCCAAAUACAUAUGGUGAGGACUGUAUUUCAACAGUCUGGAAUUUUACUGACAGGGACACAAGGGACACAAAAAUGUACAACACUUAAAAUGAUUUAUUCACAUAGAAAUUUUCAAAAUUAACGUCAAUAUAACAAGUAAAAGCUUGACAAUCAGCACUGGCUCAGAAACAAGACUAAUGAUCAAUCUUAAUCUAACGGAGGUCUGUGAGGCAAUGUCUGAGCAAUUGCUACAUAGCAUAUUUAGUGUAAAUGGUGCCUGUACUUCAACUUUCGAAUGGUCACAUUGUUGUAAUAAAAAUCAUUA
Molecule: RNA transcript, 2147 nt
Organism: Oncorhynchus masou masou (cherry salmon)
Lineage: Eukaryota; Metazoa; Chordata; Actinopteri; Salmoniformes; Salmonidae
Gene name: phenazine biosynthesis-like domain-containing protein
Exons: 9
Source: RefSeq, a predicted model, not a curated record